AGAGUUUGAUCAUGGCUCAGGAUGAACGCUAGCUACAGGCUUAACACAUGCAAGUCGAGGGGAAACGAUAUUGGAAGCUUGCUUCCGAUAGGCGUCGACCGGCGCACGGGUGAGUAACGCGUAUCCAACCUGCCCACCACGGGGGGGUUGGGAUAACCUUGCGAAAGUAAGACUGAUACCCAAUGAUAUCUCUAGAAGACAUCUGAAAGAGAUUAAAGAUUUAUCGGUGAUGGAUGGGGAUGCGUCUGAUUAGCUUGUUGGCGGGGUAACGGCCCACCAAGGCGACGAUCAGUAGGGGUUCUGAGAGGAAGGUCCCCCACAUUGGAACUGAGACACGGUCCAAACUCCUACGGGAGGCAGCA
RNAcentral lists this ribosomal RNA (362 nucleotides) under uncultured bacterium. RNAcentral's name for it is "bacterial SSU rRNA". It matches the Rfam family "Bacterial small subunit ribosomal RNA", at positions 8 to 353 of the family's 1533-position model. The record is from RNAcentral.